GGAAGGAGCUGACCCCAACUGCUUUUUAAGAGUUGUGUUCCUCCUAAAGUUCCUUUUGAUAAUGGGAGGGAAAAUUUGCUGGACUGCCUGCUGGAAGGUGAAGGAUGUGUCCUUGCCUGGACAUUGCAAGCUUAUGCUGAGGAUUUCUUAAGGAAAUAAGUGUGACACCACCAGCCUUUGUCCUUUUUCUGACUGUACCAUUGAACUCCAGGACAUCUUUGAUACAGUGUGAAGAGUCUCAAAGACAGGGUACUGGGAGACUUUCAAUAGAAAUGACAAGUCUGAAAUUGGAAAGAUUUUCCUAAAAGCUCACAGAACUAGAUUUUUGAACAUCCUUUAACAGUUUAAAGCACAAACAUUCUGCCCAGAAAAGACAGGGCAAAUUGUACCGAUGAGAUCUGGUCUAUUGGCUGCCAAAUGAGUAACACUGAAUUGCAAGAAAAAAUACUUUGUACCUACCGUAUUCCAGUGGGAUGACUCUCAUCUCUUUCACUAAGGGUCAUCUUUAGCUGAGAUACUUUCUGAGCAAUCUGGGUAGAGACGUGGCCACACUGAGGUCAUUAGAAAAGUUAAAUUCAUGUUAUUUUACUGUAUAUUGUUCCAUGUAGUACUUGUAUUACUAAUAGUUAUAUAUCAAUUCAGUCUGUGUUGUUUAUUUUUUUACUUUUAAUGGGAGGAGAACAGAAAGAAUUUUAGCGUUAAUCAGAGAGCUGAAUAUUAUAUCAGUUUUCAUUCACAUGCAAAGUAAAUAUUCAUUACCAUCUCUGGCAUGUGUAGUUCACUGUGUAAUGUUAUAAUAUGCUUAUAUUAUAAU
Molecule: long non-coding RNA, 814 nt
Organism: Oxyura jamaicensis (ruddy duck)
Lineage: Eukaryota; Metazoa; Chordata; Aves; Anseriformes; Anatidae
Exons: 4
Source: RefSeq, a predicted model, not a curated record